Molecule: ribosomal RNA, 429 nt
Filed under: uncultured bacterium
Lineage: Bacteria
Description: bacterial SSU rRNA
Rfam family: Bacterial small subunit ribosomal RNA
Source: RNAcentral
UGGGGAAUAUUGCGCAAUGGGCGAAAGCCUGACGCAGCGACGCCGCGUGGAGGAUGAAGGUCUUCGGAUUGUAAACUUCUGUUAAGUGGGAAAAAAGACCUUUCUUUAAUAGAGAAAGGGGAUGAUGGUACCACUAGAGAAAGCACCGGCUAAACUCGUGCCAGCAGCCGCGGUAAUACGAGUGGUGCUAGCGUUAUUCGGAUUUAUUGGGCGUAAAGGGUGCGUAGACGGUGUAAUAAGUCUGUUGUUAAAUUCCUCGGCUCAACCGAGGAUCUGCGAUGGAAACUAUUGCGCUAGAGGAUGGAAGAGAGAAGUGGAAUUCUUGGAGUAGCGGUAAAAUGCGUAGAUCUCAAGAGGAACACCAAUGGCGAAGGCAGCUUCUUGGUCCACUCCUGACGUUGAGGCACGAAAGCGUGGGGAGCAAACAGG